UGCAAGUCGAGCGGUAGAGAGAAGCUUGCUUCUCUGUGAGAGCGGCGGACGGGUGAGUAAUGCCUAGGAAUCUGCCUGGUAGUGGGGGAUAACGUUCGGAAACGGACGCUAAUACCGCAUACGUCCUACGGGAGAAAGCAGGGGACCUUCGGGCCUUGCGCUAUCAGAUGAGCCUAGGUCGGAUUAGCUAGUUGGUGGGGUAAUGGCUCACCAAGGCGACGAUCCGUAACUGGUCUGAGAGGAUGAUCAGUCACACUGGAACUGAGACACGGUCCAGACUCCUACGGGAGGCAGCAGUGGGGAAUAUUG
Molecule: ribosomal RNA, 309 nt
Filed under: Pseudomonas trivialis
Lineage: Bacteria; Pseudomonadati; Pseudomonadota; Gammaproteobacteria; Pseudomonadales; Pseudomonadaceae
Description: bacterial SSU rRNA
Rfam family: Bacterial small subunit ribosomal RNA
Source: RNAcentral